This 491-nucleotide ribosomal RNA is filed under the name uncultured bacterium. RNAcentral describes it as "partial 16S ribosomal RNA". It matches the Rfam family "Bacterial small subunit ribosomal RNA", at positions 28 to 507 of the family's 1533-position model. The record is from RNAcentral.
GAUGAACGCUGGCUACAGGCUUAACACAUGCAAGUCGAGGGGAAACGCCGGGGAAGCUUGCUUCCCCGGGCGUCGACCGGCGCACGGGUGAGUAACGCGUAUCCAACCUGCCUCUGACUGAGGGAUAACCCGUCGAAAGUCGGCCUAAUACCUCAUGGCAUCGUCUGCGGGCAUCCAACGACGAUUAAAGAUUUCAUCGGUCAGGGAUGGGGAUGCGUCUGAUUAGCUUGUUGGCGGGGUAACGGCCCACCAAGGCUACGAUCAGUAGGGGUUCUGAGAGGAAGGUCCCCCACAUUGGAACUGAGACACGGUCCAAACUCGUACGGGAGGCAGCAGUGAGGAAUAUUGGUCAAUGGGCGGGAGCCUGAACCAGCCAAGUAGCGUGCAGGAUGACGGCCCUAUGGGUUGUAAACUGCUUUUAUGCGGGGAUAAAGUGAGGGACGUGUCCUUCAUUGCAGGUACCGCAUGAAUAAGGACCGGCUAAUUCCGUG